GAUGAACGCUGGCGGCGUGCCUAAUACAUGCAAGUCGAGCGAACGGACGAGAAGCUUGCUUCUCUGAUGUUAGCGGCGGACGGGUGAGUAACACGUGGAAACCUACCUAUAAGACUGGGAUAACUUCGGGAAACCGGAGCUAAUACCGGAUGAUAUUUUGAACCGCAUGGUUCAAAAGUGAAAGACGGUCUUGCUGUCACUUAUAGAUGGAUCCGCGCUGCAUUAGCUAGUUGGUAAGGUAACGGCUUACCAAGGCAACGAUGCAUAGCCGACCUGAGAGGGUGAUCGGCCACACUGGAACUGAGACACGGUCCAGACUCCUACGGGAGGCAGCGGUAGGGAAUCUUCCGCAAUGGGCGAAAGCCUGACGGAGCAACGCCGCGUGAGUGAUGAAGGUCUUCGGAUCGUAAAACUCUGUUAUUAGGGAAGAACAUAUGUGUAAGUAACUGUGCACAUCUUGACGGUACCUAAUCAGAAAGCCACGGCUAACUACGUG
RNAcentral lists this ribosomal RNA (496 nucleotides) under uncultured bacterium. RNAcentral's name for it is "partial 16S ribosomal RNA". It matches the Rfam family "Bacterial small subunit ribosomal RNA", at positions 28 to 507 of the family's 1533-position model. The record is from RNAcentral.